RNAcentral lists this long non-coding RNA (199 nucleotides) under Lathyrus oleraceus (garden pea). RNAcentral describes it as "Pisum sativum (pea) long non-coding RNA (PSAT_LNC004890)". Lineage: Eukaryota; Viridiplantae; Streptophyta; Magnoliopsida; Fabales; Fabaceae. The record is from RNAcentral.
AAUAAUGAUGGCCAAGGGGCAUUGAAAGAUAAAAGAAUAAGUUGCAGGAACCUCUGAUUCUGAUACCUCCUGUGGAAGGAACAACUUUUAAUCUGGUACUUGACAGCCCUCGAGGGGUCUAUGAGGUGCGUAUUGUGUCAGCAUGACGAGUCUGGUCGAAAAGAGCAUGCAAUUUACCUUAGCAAAAAGUUUAUCGACU